This is a long non-coding RNA of Equus quagga, 975 nucleotides long. RefSeq lists it as uncharacterized. NCBI's taxonomy places the organism in Eukaryota, Metazoa, Chordata, Mammalia, Perissodactyla, Equidae. The transcript has 3 exons. The record is from RefSeq and is a predicted model, not a curated record.
GGAGAAGACCCUGAGCCUCCACGACGGCACGGAGCCCAGCUGACAGCUUGAUUUCAGCCCGGGGAGACCCUGAGCAGAGAAGCCAGCUGUGCUGUGCCUGGCCUUCUGAUUGAUAGACACUCUAAGGUCCAGAAGCUACUUCCUAUUUUUCUCUUGAGGGAUGGCAAUAGCUUGUACAAACGCCUGGGGGUGUGCAUGUGUGUCAGAUGCGAGCUGGGUGUGCCUCACUACGACGUCUCCCCUGGUCGUGCUCGGAUCGUGCUCCGGUCCCCUGAUCACGGCUGAUUCGUUAGUGUUGACAGACACCUGACUGCAGGCUGACAAGUCUCUCCUGGGGAUGUGAAACUUGAAUGGAGGGCACGCAGGCAGGGGGCGGUGGGAAAUGCGCCACCCCUAGCCAGUGCCCUAGAGAGGACAGCCACGGGCUCUGCCACUGAACCCCCUGGACAUUCCCGAGGAGUCCUCAUGUCUGGGGCAUGCUCUUCUGCCAUCCUGGGAACAGCUCUCCAUAAAUCCACCACUGGGCAACUUGCUUCUCUUGCAGCUACUGGUGGCCAAUGAAUGGAAGUUGUUAGGUGAGGAUUCUGGGAAAUAUCUUUAGAAGACACUGAUGCAGCUGGGAGGAAAGCCAAUUUGCCCUUCCUUCUCCUUCUUCCUACAUGGGACUCAGGCAUUAUGGCUGGAGCCCCAGCAGCCAUCUUGGAUCAAGAAGUGACCUUGACGAUGAAGCCGUAUAGUAAGGAUGAAGCAACACAAAGCUAGAAGGAACCUAUGAUGUUGAUGACACUGUGAACCAGCCCUGACCGGGACUGAUCUUUCCAGACUUCUUUUUUCAAAUGAACUUUUUAUUUUAGAACAGUUUUGGAUUUACAGAAUUGUUGCAAAUGUAGUGUGGAGUUCCUAUAUACCCUAUACCCAGUUUCCCCUAUUAUUAAUAUUUUACAUUAGUAUGGUACAUUUAUCACAAUUAAUGAA